Molecule: ribosomal RNA, 730 nt
Filed under: Nocardiopsis sp. YIM 61341
Lineage: Bacteria; Bacillati; Actinomycetota; Actinomycetes; Streptosporangiales; Nocardiopsidaceae
Description: bacterial SSU rRNA
Rfam family: Bacterial small subunit ribosomal RNA
Source: RNAcentral
CCCUUCGGGGUACACGAGCGGCGAACGGGUGAGUAACACGUGAGCAACCUGCCCCUGACUCCGGGAUAAGCGGUGGAAACGCCGUCUAAUACCGGAUACGACCCUCCACCUCAUGGUGGUGGGUGGAAAGUUUUUCGGUCGGGGAUGGGCUCGCGGCCUAUCAGCUUGUUGGUGGGGUAACGGCCUACCAAGGCGAUUACGGGUAGCCGGCCUGAGAGGGCGACCGGCCACACUGGGACUGAGACACGGCCCAGACUCCUGCGGGAGGCAGCAGUGGGGAAUAUUGCGCAAUGGGCGAAAGCCUGACGCAGCGACGCCGCGUGGGGGAUGACGGCCUUCGGGUUGUAAACCUCUUUUACCACUCACGCAGGCUCCACGUUUUCGUGGGGUUGACGGUAGGUGGGGAAUAAGGACCGGCUAACUACGUGCCAGCAGCCGCGGUAAUACGUAGGGUCCGAGCGUUGUCCGGAAUUAUUGGGCGUAAAGAGCUCGUAGGCGGCGUGUCGCGUCUGCUGUGAAAGACCGGGGCUUAACCCCGGUUCUGCAGUGGAUACGGGCAUGCUAGAGGUAGGUAGGGGAGACUGGAAUUCCUGGUGUAGCGGUGAAAUGCGCAGAUAUCAGGAGGAACACCGGUGGCGAAGGCGGGUCUCUGGGCCUUACCUGACGCUGAGGAGCGAAAGCAUGGGGAGCGAACAGGAUUAGAUACCCUGGUAGUCCAUGCCGUAAACGU